This 1347-nucleotide long non-coding RNA is filed under the name Mytilus galloprovincialis (Mediterranean mussel). Lineage: Eukaryota; Metazoa; Mollusca; Bivalvia; Mytilida; Mytilidae. The record is from RNAcentral.
UUUUGGUUAAAAUGACUUUCCAUAUAUUUUUAUGUUUACCUAGUCAUGGUAAAUGCUUUAAUAAUUGUGUUGUGUAUUGACUUGUAUCAACAAAUGGAUAGAACAUGAGAAAUAUUGUGAUAUUUAGAUUUUUGAGACUUGUUGUUAUUUUGAGAAAGUUCCCGUACUUUUUCAUCUGUAACUUUUUCGGGAUCGACCCCACUUUAGACAUACUUUCUGUCAAUUUUGGACAAUGACAGCCAAACUUACUUAUAUACACUCUUUUCUAAAGUCGAAUUGAGUUUGAGAAUUUACUUUUCCCCACUGAAGGUUAUGCAUUUUGCUUAAACUUGUCGAUCUUCGUUUCUGUUACAGACAGCAUGUAUCGCUAUCCGCCAUUACUUCAGAUGAACGGCUAGCGAUUUCAUUGGUUGAUUAAAAGAAUAAAGUAUUUUACCUUAAUUUUUGUAGAAAUUGUUAUAGAAAUGUUUUAUUUUACGAUUCAGUAAUGUUAGAAAAUGUAAAAGUUUAUAUUUUAAUAACUUUGUAUUCUUUGUCGAUUCAACUUGUUAAAGAAUGGAGCUUUUUGAUUGGCUAUUGGUUACUGUGCACUGUGCAAGAUGGGGCACUUAAGGGUAUCGUGCAUGCCCCUGUGCGGUACAUUUGCACUGUCGUGCAGUGGCGGGUAUUAUAUAAUCUUUCGAAAACGCUGCACUGACGUCACUUUCACGCCAUUUUAUUAGGGAUUGAACCGCUGCCAAAAUUUUAUUAGAAAGUAAGGCCAAUUUUUACGUUUAGAAACUUAUUUAUUUAACUAAAUUUUCUUAUUGGAAAAACGUAAUUUUACAGAGAUUUUAAUGAUAAUUUCUAGAAGUUUAUUUUCAUUUCAAAAGUAACUUUUAAAGGCUGUUUUACGAAUUUAUGGUUCAAAAUUUCAUUGUUUUGGAAUUGUAAAGUUUUGUUUAAGUACAUUUUACCGGAAAGUUAGAUUUUUCUAUUUAAGAGUCCAAAGCCAAUCAAACUAUUUUUGCGUUUAAAUUAUAGACUGUGUUAUAGGAUUUUAAAGGUAUAUCUGAGAGUUCUUUGUUACACUUUUAUUGUCCUCUAUUUUACAAGACAUACGCUACUAGUAAAGUCUCUAGUACACUUGUCUACAUUAACGCAAAUUAAAUAUAUUAGAUAAGGUAAUAGGGACACAAAACAUACGCUACUAGUAAAGUCUCUAGUACACUUGUUUUGUUUAAAUAACUAUAAAUAGGGAGAUUAGUUAAAAGACAUACUCUACUAGUAAAGUCUCUAGUAUUUUGUCUUGAUUAAAAUAAUUGGAAUAAGGAUAAAGGGCUUACGCUACUAGUAAAGUUUCUAGUA